Molecule: transfer RNA, 525 nt
Filed under: Microcoleus autumnalis P019
Lineage: Bacteria; Bacillati; Cyanobacteriota; Cyanophyceae; Oscillatoriales; Microcoleaceae
Description: Phormidium autumnale P019 partial 16S-23S ribosomal RNA intergenic spacer
Rfam family: tRNA (bases 118-191)
Source: RNAcentral
UUUAGGGAGACCAUCUGAAUCUUGACCGAACCUAAACAAUAGGUCAAGAAGCAGUUAUCCCUGGUCGUUCGAGAUCAUCAUGUCAAAGCUUUCAAACUAUUAACAGGUUCAGUAAACGGGCUAUUAGCUCAGUUGGUUAGAGCGCACCCCUGAUAAGGGUGAGGUCCCUGGUUCAAAUCCAGGAUGGCCCACCUGAACGUUAAAAAUGUGUAAUUAAAGACAAGUGGUGUUUAAUUAUCAGUUUUUAAUCAUAAGUGUGGGGGUAUAGCUCAGUUGGUAGAGCGCCUGCCUUGCACGCAGGAAGUCAGCGGUUCGAGCCCGCUUACCUCCACUCUCACUUCGUGCACCAACGCCUCAAACAGAAAACAGAAAUCAGCACCUCGGUCGGCGUCAAAGCUCAUCAGAAUGCUGGAGUCUCGACUCUAGUCAGAACCUUGAAAACUGCAUAGAAAUUAAGUCAUCAUCAAGCAGGUAAGUCAACCGAGGCAUCGGAACAUCUUACUUCAGACGACCAUCAAAAACAAU